RNAcentral lists this long non-coding RNA (1094 nucleotides) under Varroa destructor (honeybee mite). RNAcentral describes it as "uncharacterized LOC111246916, transcript variant X1". Lineage: Eukaryota; Metazoa; Arthropoda; Arachnida; Mesostigmata; Varroidae. The record is from RNAcentral.
UCUACACACGCAGUGACCGCUGUAUCGGUAGCCUUUUAGGUUGUGUCAAUACGGAACGUCAUCUUGCCGCAAUAGAGCGCACGUGUCCAACUAGCAGUUGUAUACCCAGAACUGUAACAGACCAUAACAAUUUAAUCUAGCCCGAAAUUACGAGUAAAUACAAAUAAAGCCAGUGAGGGAGCAGUACCACGCGAGCACUACGAUUUAUAAGGCCCGAGUCAACAGUCACGUGGUUCCGCAAAGUCAAAUUGAGAAGAUUGUUAUUACAUCAUCUCCUGUUAUAAAGUGGUUUACAAGUGAUCCGGGUUACAGCUGCAAAAGCGGUCCGUUGUCUGAAGAUUUGUGACAUCGACCUUCGGAUCUGUAAUCUCCUCGUUUGAGGCCCGCUUCUUUCGCAAACAGCUUGCCCUCAGACGUCUUUACUCGUAUCCGUCCCCGGCUGUUUUUCAGUUGUUAGCAACAAUCUGCAAAGCCCAGCACUGACAUGGGCAAGUCCUAUACCGGCUACACCUCAUUCCCGCUCUGAAACCUUCGGCAUCUUCCGUCUAGUUCCCGGACGCUUUAAUCGGAACCUUUGAAGUCUGAUUGAAAAAGAGGGACGAAGGUAAAAACAGCCUUUACAGUCUGUAGGCUACCACCAGUCGCUACUCCACUAACAAUUACUGCGCCGGGUGGGAUUCGUUAUACUGCCGUAUUCCCCUGUUUACUUUGGCCCGCGACGUAUGAUUCCCCUACCGUUGAUACAGCCCGCCUCGUUUAAUAUUCAUACGAUUCGUGGCGUCACCCGUUUCCACUCUGAAUUUACUAGCGGGUAAAGUUAGAUAAGAAGAGCCAAAAGACAGAUUUCAAACUCUGAUCUAGAAAUGAAGGAUUCGUAAGGCAGAUAACGCCAGCAACUCCGCAAGUUGCAAUAAAGUGACAGAAGUACCCAUACAGAGAGAAUUUAACAUGCACGAUUUACUGCACAAAUGAGACUAGCCCGCUUGGAAAAUGCUUAAUAAUGCGAAAUUAAAUAAAGUAUAUCUUUUUCGCAUUUGGCUAGUUUUAUAAGGACUGGAAUGUGCAAGCGCAACAUCUGCCAUCUAUGGAGAGUC